GACGAACGCUGGCGGCGUGCCUAAUACAUGCAAGUCGAGCGAACAGACGAGGCGCUUGCUCCUCUGUCGUUUGCGGCGGACGGGUGAGUCACACGUGGAUACCCUACCUAUCUGUCUGGGAUCAUUUCGAGACACCGGCGCAAACCCCGGAUGAUCUAUUGCUCCGCGUUGUUCAUUGGUGAGAUACGGUUUUGCUGUCUCUUCUCGCUGGAUCCGCGCCGCAUUAGCUAGUUGGUACGGUAAUGGCUUGCCACGGCAACGAUGCGUAGACGACCUGACAGGGUGAUCGGCGACACUGGAAGUGAGACGCGGUCCAGACUACUACGGGAGGCAGCAGUAGGGAAUCGGCCGCAAUGGGCGGAAGCAUGACGGAGCAACGGGGCGUGAGUGAUGAAGGUCUUCGGAUCGUAAAACUCUGUUAUGAGGGGAAAACAAAUGUGUAAGUAACUAUGCACGGCUUGACGGUACCUAGUAAGAAAGCAACGGCUAACUACGUG
This 497-nucleotide ribosomal RNA is filed under the name uncultured bacterium. RNAcentral's name for it is "partial 16S ribosomal RNA". It matches the Rfam family "Bacterial small subunit ribosomal RNA", at positions 28 to 507 of the family's 1533-position model. The record is from RNAcentral.